AGUGAAUCUACUUGAAAGACAUCUUUAGAAUAAAAAUAUACCUUCAGCAUGUAGUCAAAACCUGAGCUGCUGGGAAGAAUGAAUGAGAAAUAUCUCGUGGGGCCAAAAUAUACAUCCAGUGUAAACUACAAUUUCAAACUAUCUAAAGGCAGAUCUCCAGAAAGAUUUAAUGGAGGAGAGAAGAGCAAGAAGAGAUGGAUGUUCACAGCAUAUCCCAGAUUCUGUGUUCUUGGAAUUAAGAGAAGAAAAGCAAAAGGCCUACUCCCUGCCCUCAGCUACAAUGUAAGCAGCCCCUCCCACUCUCAAAUCCAUGCCUGGAUGGGAACACCAUGAUGAGGAAGACCCUUCAACUACAAGCAAAAUAAACCUAUCCUUCCUUAAGAUUCUUCUGUCAAAUUUCUUGUCAUAUUUUUGGUAAAAUAAACUAAUGUGAAAGAAUGG
Molecule: long non-coding RNA, 441 nt
Filed under: Mus spretus (western wild mouse)
Lineage: Eukaryota; Metazoa; Chordata; Mammalia; Rodentia; Muridae
Description: predicted gene, 44071 (ENSMSPG00010032390.1)
Source: RNAcentral